Molecule: long non-coding RNA, 195 nt
Organism: Octopus sinensis (East Asian common octopus)
Lineage: Eukaryota; Metazoa; Mollusca; Cephalopoda; Octopoda; Octopodidae
Exons: 3
Source: RefSeq, a predicted model, not a curated record
CAUCAUCAUCAUCAUUUAAUGUCCGCUUUCCAUGUUGGCAUAGGUUGGACAGUCCGACUGAAAACUGGUAACCCAGGGGGACUGCACCAGGUUCCGAUCUGAUUUGGCAAAGUUUCUACAGCUGGAUGCCCUUCCUAAUGCCAACCACUCCAAGAGAGUAGUGGGUGCUUUUUACGUGGCACUGGCAUCAGCCAC